CUGAUAUCCUUAGGGACUGAAGUCUUCAGUUGAGCCACAGAACGAGUACAGCACAGACAGGGGCAGUGCAGGCUUCACCUAAUGGUCAAUGUGCUUCAUCUUGGACCAGAGAGGUUCAUGGUGUGUGGCCACUCUGCUGAGAUUGCCGCCAAGGGUGCC
This is an unclassified non-coding RNA of Chelonoidis abingdonii (Abingdon island giant tortoise), 159 nucleotides long. The record is from Ensembl. NCBI's taxonomy places the organism in Eukaryota, Metazoa, Chordata, Testudines, Testudinidae.